AUACAUGCAAGUUGAGCGCUGAAGGUUGGUACUUGUACCGACUGGAUGAGCAGCGAACGGGUGAGUAACGCGUGGGGAAUCUGCCUUUGAGCGGGGGACAACAUUUGGAAACGAAUGCUAAUACCGCAUAAAAACUUUAAACACAAGUUUUAAGUUUGAAAGAUGCAAUUGCAUCACUCAAAGAUGAUCCCGCGUUGUAUUAGCUAGUUGGUGAGGUAAAGGCUCACCAAGGCGAUGAUACAUAGCCGACCUGAGAGGGUGAUCGGCCACAUUGGGACUGAGACACGGCCCAAACUCCUACGGGAGGCAGCAGUAGGGAAUCUUCGGCAAUGGACGAAAGUCUGACCGAGCAACGCCGCGUGAGUGAAGAAGGUUUUCGGAUCGUAAAACUCUGUUGUUAGAGAAGAACGUUGCAUAGAGUGGAAAAUUAUGCAAGUGACGGUAUCUAACCAGAAAGGGACGGCUAACUAC
This 471-nucleotide ribosomal RNA is filed under the name uncultured bacterium. Its description in RNAcentral is "bacterial SSU rRNA". It matches the Rfam family "Bacterial small subunit ribosomal RNA", at positions 51 to 504 of the family's 1533-position model. The record is from RNAcentral.